GCCUAAGCUUCAGCUACACACGACCGUACCGCAAACCGACACUGGUGCGCGAGAUGAGUAUUCUAAGGCGCUUGAGAGAACUCAGGAGAAGGAACUCGGCAAAUUGACACCGUAACUUCGGAAGAAGGUGUGCCUUUAGUAGGUGAACCUGUACAAGGGGAGCCCAAUGGGGUUGCAAAAAAUCGGUGGCUGCGACUGUUUAAUAAAAACACAGCACUCUGCAAACACGAAAGUGGACGUAUAGGGUGUGACGCCUGCCCGGUGCUGGAAGAUUAAAUGAUGGGGUGCAAGCUCUUGAUUGAAGUCCCAGUAAACGGCGGCCGUAACAAUAACGGUCCUAAGGUAGCGAAAUUCCUUGUCGGGUAAGUUCCGACCUGCACGAAUGGCGUAACGAUGGCCACACUGUCUCCUCCUGAGACUCAGCGAAGUUGAAAUGUUUGUGAUGAUGCAAUCUCCCCGCGGAAAGACGGAAAGACCCCAUGAACCUUUACUGUAGCUUUGUAUUGGACUUUGAACAGAUCUGUGUAGGAUAGGUGGGAGGCUUUGAAGUGUGGUCGCUAGAUCGCAUGGAGCCAACGUUGAAAUACCACCCUGGUGUGUUUGAGGUUCUAACCUAGGCCCGUAAUCCGGGUCGGGGACAGUGCAUGGUAGGCAGUUUGACUGGGGCGGUCUCCUCCCAAAGCGUAACGGAGGAGUUCGAAGGUACGCUAGGUACGGUCGGACAUCGUGCUAAUAGUGCAAUGGCAUAAGCGUGCUUAACUGCGAGACUGACAAGUUGAGCAGAUGCGAAAGCAGGACAUAGUGAUCCGGUGGUUCUGUAUGGAAGGGCCAUCGCUCAACGGAUAAAAGGUACUCUGGGGAUAACAGGCUGAUACCGCCCAAGAGUUCAUAUCGACGGCGGUGUUUGGCACCUCGAUGUCGGCUCAUCUCAUCCUGGGGCUGUAGCCGGUCCCAAGGGUAUGGCUGUUCGCCAUUUAAAGAGGUACGUGAGCUGGGUUUAAAACGUCGUGAGACAGUUUGGUCCCUAUCUUCCGUGGGCGCUGCAGAUUUGAGGAAGCCUGCUCCUAGUACGAGAGGACCGGAGUGGACACACCUCUGGUGUAUCGGUUGUCACGCCAGUGGCAUUGCCGAGUAGCUAUGUGUGGAAGAGAUAACCGCUGAAAGCAUCUAAGCGGGAAACUCGUUUCAAGAUGAGAUCUGCCGGGGCCUUGAGCCCCCUAAAGAGUCGUUCAAGACCAGGACGUUGAUAGGUCGGGUGUGGAAGCGCAGUAAUGCGUUAAGCUAACCGAUACUAAUUGCUCGUGCGGCUUGACCAA
Molecule: ribosomal RNA, 1316 nt
Filed under: metagenome
Description: bacterial LSU rRNA
Rfam family: Bacterial large subunit ribosomal RNA
Source: RNAcentral